GCAGCGUCGUGGUGACGUACGAAGUCCUCCUUCGGGUCGGGGCGGGGAUUGGCGCCGCCGCCGUCGUGGAGGACCGCGUGGAGGACCUCCUGCAGGCCACCGCCGCCAAUUGCAGUCAAUGCAGCGACGUCACGUGCGAGCUGUGCUUCAAUGCCUCCCACACCGCUGUGACCAACUACAGCAUUCAGCCCCUGGAUGAAGAGCUGUGCCGGCAGUUCGUCCCGCCGUCUCUGAUUGGCUACUACUCCCCCGUCCUCUCAACCAAUGGCGUUCUUUGCGUCACCCGUUGCCACCCGCUUUCCUCCGAGCCCCUCCCGUGCGUGCACGGAGCAUGCGCAGUGAGCGACGACGGGCCGCAGUGCGACUGCAGUGACCCCGGCUCCUUCUGGUACCUGGACUCGUCGUGCAGCUCCAGGCUGAGCAAAGUGGGCUUGGCUCUCGGGCUCCCCCUGGCGGCGCUUUGCGUCGGUGCAGCGGGCUGCGGGGCGGCGCUGCUGAGGAGCAGGAGGCUGCGCAGGGCG
Non-coding RNA from Phasianus colchicus (ring-necked pheasant), 521 nucleotides. The record is from RefSeq and is a predicted model, not a curated record. Lineage: Eukaryota; Metazoa; Chordata; Aves; Galliformes; Phasianidae.